GAUGAACGCUAGCGGCAGGCUUAAUACAUGCAAGUCGAGGGGCAGCACGGUUAGCAAUAACUGGUGGCGACCGGCGCACGGGUGCGUAACACGUAUACAAUCUACCUUAAACAGGGGGAUAGCCUUUCGAAAGAGAGAUUAAUACCCCGUAAUAAAUUGAACGGCAUCGUUUGAUUUUGAAAGCUCCGGCGGUUUGAGAUGAGUAUGCGUCUGAUUAGCUAGUUGGUGAGGUAACGGCUCACCAAGGCGACGAUCAGUAGGGGAUCUGAGAGGACUAACCCCCCACACUGGUACUGAGACACGGACCAGACUCCUACGGGAGGCAGCAGUAAGGAUAUUGGUCAAUGGAGGCAACUCUGAACCAGCCAUGCCGCGUGCAGGAUGACGGCCCUAUGGGUUGUAAACUGCUUUUAUACAAGAGAAAACCCUGGUACGUGUACCAGGUUGAUAGUAUUGUAAGAAUAAGCAUCGGCUAACUUCGUGCCAGCAGCCGCGG
RNAcentral lists this ribosomal RNA (496 nucleotides) under uncultured bacterium. RNAcentral describes it as "bacterial SSU rRNA". It matches the Rfam family "Bacterial small subunit ribosomal RNA", at positions 28 to 520 of the family's 1533-position model. The record is from RNAcentral.